UUGAGUUGCGCAAAGCCUUGGGUGGGAAAUUGUCCUUUGGCCCAAUAAAAUUUUGAACCAUGAGAUCUACGACCAAAAUACCUCUUCGCGCUGUCGCCGCCGAUAGCUGAAACAGCCAACUAAUCAGCUGCUACCGCCCUCUCAGCUACUAAGCCUUUAAGCAGCAUCCUGCUCCCUAUGCACGCCACCAGCAAGACGGCCAGCCGCUGGAAUUUUGAACCCAGCAAUUCUAUGUACCUCUGACGUUAACUGUCUGAAAGAUUCUAUCUGUAACUCUCCCUCUUCAUUGUUGAUAAUCCUGUGCAACACAGAAGUGGAAAGCUCCAAUUAUGUUUGGUAUUUCGUACGGAGAGAUCUUCCUCAUAAUCGGUGCCACUGCUGCCCUUGUGGGGCCUAAAGACCUCCCCAUAAUUGCGAGAACAGCUGGGAGAUUAGCAGGUAAGGCCAUUGGGUAUGUUCAAUUAGCUCGUGGCCAAUUUGAAAAUGUUAUGCAACAGUCUCAAGCACGCCAGGUACAAAAAGAACUUCAAGAUGCAAUGCAACAGCUAGAGGCAAUUCGUCAUGAAAUCAGAAGUGUAUCUCUUAUUAACCCUGGUCCCUUGACUCGAAAGCUGAUGGACAAUCCUUCAGAGCCCACUUCUAAUCAUGAUGACAGUGCUUUGUCACCAAAAUAUGAAGGAAACUAUCCAUCACCAGACACUUUGUUAAAGGAUUGUAGCGUCAAACCAUCUGCCUCAUUAGACUUACACAGCCAAGCAACUGCAUAUGCAAGAUUGGCUGAAUCUGAAGCUGUGAAGAGUGGUUCUUUGAAGAGCAUUUUAGAGAAAGAAAAUUCUGAAAAUGAAGCUGCUUUGUUUACUGUACUUCCAGUAUCAGCCGAAAGCACUGGCAUGCUUCCAGGUCGCAAGGACAGUGCACAAGGAUCAGAUAUUUUGUUGGAAGCUGUACUUGAAUCAGAGGUAGCACAUAAUGCCAAAGAUUUCUUUUCUCAGCCUGAGAAUCAAUUACCGUGAAUGCAAAAGAUUACCAUGGAACCAUUAUGUUACAUUUUUGGUUAAACUGGUGUCUGGGUUUAUUUUCUUCAGACACUUGUAUAUAUGUUUGGCCUAAAUGGAAGUGGUUCAGAAUGAUAUAACUAAGGGUAAUUCAAUGCCUUUGAUUCAGUCGGCUCAACUGCAUCUUGGGGAAACUAUAUGAUGUUCAAGUGAAUCUUCGAUCAUUCAAGGACAGACAAGCAGUUAAUUUAUUUUGGUGGGAUCCAGAAAUGCUUCUUCAGGAAGUCAGCUUCUUUGUUCACCAAUGCAAUAUCCCUUCUGCUGGUAUGCGCAAUUCUUUGGCCCUUCCCAGUUCCCAUGAUACCUGUUCAAUAUGAGAAAAAGUGAAUGAUAUGUUAUCAUUUAAGACCCAAGUUGCCUUUAACUCAAUCAUUGUGGCUUUUGUUGGUUGCAAUGUGUCAUGACUGAAGAAUUUAGAUUGCAUAAUAAUGUAGUUUCAGAAUUCUUGAUUCUGAUUCAGUAAUUCAUGCAUUCAUUUGUUUUUCUGGAAUGACUGAGUGUAUAUAAUGUAGAUUUGAUAACAUAAUGAUCCAAAUUAGUUCUGUAUGUUUAGUGGGACAUAACAUAUUUUCUUCUGCCAUCUUUCCUAUUUUCUUCUGCAUCUUCAGUGCAAUUCUAUUCAAUGCUUCUACAAUUGCACAGUAUUGCAGGACUUUUCUGGAUAUUUGGUUUACCUAAAAUUGCUUACUCUGGUGGGCCAAAGAAGUACUAAGUGACAAAUAUGAUGUGUUUACUUAAAUGCUUCUUUUGCCUAUGGUGUGACAUACUGACCUGAGUAGCUUGGUUCAGUGAUGGGAUUGUCUUGCUGAAUGCUAAAGAAGGCUGUACUAACCCAUCAGUAGACAAAGAUGAACUUCCCAAUUAUGGAAGCAUCCCAAUUCACUUGUUUCUUUUAGGAAGGGGGAGUCCUUGUGAUCUAGAGCAAGCUCCACACUAACAUGCAAGAAAAGCCACAGAGACAUCUUGCCUAGUUUUUGGAGUGCCAGUGGUAUGAGUUCAUUGAAAAAUAUCCCAGGUGCAUGUAGUAACUUUUCAUGAAUGUUCACCACUCUCAAUAUUUUCACCCCAAGUUCUUCAAGCUGUUCCUUGAACCUGAUAUUCCCAACUCUUGGUCCCAAGAAUGAGAAGACAUAUCUAAGUACAACUUUCCCACUGUCCAUGAGAAUUGGCAACUUUUAUUCUCGUUUGUGUAGAGAUCAAGGACCCCGGACUCUGCUCUGACCCUUGGAUCUGGACUAGCAAUAUUUUCGAUGAAAUCAGCAUUAGAAAGUACAUAAAGUCUUCUAUACACUCCAACGUUGUCAUCAUACCCCUCCAAGCAAUGGUCAUACCCCUCCAAGCAAUGUUUAUACCCCUUUGUCCAAGAUGUGUUGAUAUUUUAUCAUUUGAUAAUGCAUCAUAGCCAAUCCAGUUUGCUGUUUCACUCCAUGCUUCAGCACAUACUGAUCUCUGGAAAAAGCCUCGGAGAUUGAUGUUACAUGAAGCAUAGUGGUAAGAAGCUACUUAAUAUCCAUGUUGCAUUAGACCAAGACACUCAAAAGACUUGGUAGGUGUAUAUUUGCAACUGCCUCAGCACUUGGGGAAUGUUUCAGAGUCAAAAGCAUCAUAACAGCUUGAGCCAUUUCUCUAUAUCAUAUUAGUUCAGAUGGUAGAGGGGAUCCAAAUGGUCAAGCAUACCGUCCCAGUUAUCCACAACAUGAAUUUCUAUCCAAGUAUCUGCUAGCUUCCUCUUGCCUUGUUUUCCUAUCAUGUUUUAUUCAUCAUCUUCUAUCUCUUUCUCUCUUUCAAGCUCUUAAACUAUACACCCAUUAUUCUUAGAUGAAACUCUACCUUUUACACACUGGUUCUCCGUCUUCUCUUCUUUUUAGCCAUGGAGAUGAUGAUUUAUUUUCUGUGGUUGGAGUUCUGAUGGGAUAUUUGAAUGGGAAGGCCUCUUGCCUGUAUCUGUUAUACGGCAAGACCAUUUCGGGUAGAGGGAUAGCCAUUGAUUUAUUCCGUGGGUAGCUUAAGCUGGUGGUGGAACAAUGAACAGAGCAAGGUUGGAAAUUUUGGUGGGGAGAAUGAAUUAGUGUUUAAUACUUCUAACGACUUGGUUAUAUAUUUGACCUUAAAAAUUAUUUUAUUUGAGCUUUGAUAAUGAUCAAGCAUUCUUAACCGGCACUUUCUAAACCAUUAAGACUCUUUGGUUUCAUAUGACCUAGAAUUAAAUAUAUGGUUAUUGGAUAGGUUCCUGAGCAGAGUAUCUUUCUGAGUUGGAAAUUGACUUAGUAGUGACAAAUGACACAGUUAUUAUUGAUUUAAUUUUACAACUGAUUGCUUUCAGAUUGUGAAUUACCGGGCAUUGGAUGGGCUUAGUUUAUACAGGAGGAUUUGAUAUGUGCUGUGUAAGAUUGAAUCGAAGUUUGACUUAGCUCGAACUCUUUCAUUGUAGUUUGCUUUGUCAAUAAUUCUUUGUUUUCUUCUAA
Molecule: RNA transcript, 3520 nt
Organism: Mangifera indica (mango)
Lineage: Eukaryota; Viridiplantae; Streptophyta; Magnoliopsida; Sapindales; Anacardiaceae
Gene name: sec-independent protein translocase protein TatB
Exons: 10
Source: RefSeq, a predicted model, not a curated record